CCCUUAGAUGUUCUGGGCCGCACGCGCGCUACACUGACAGAGCCAGCGAGUUCUCUUUCCUUGGCUGAAAAGUCAUGGGUAAUCUUGUGAAACUCUGUCGUGCUGGGGAUAGAGCAUUGCAAUUAUUGCUCUUCAACGAGGAAUUCCUAGUAAGCGUAAGUCAUCAGCUUGCGUUGAUUACGUCCCUGCCCUUUGUACACACCGCCCGUCGCUACUACCGAUUGAAUGAUCCGGUGAACCCCUCGGAUCGGGGACGGUGCCCGUCGGUCUCCGGCGGGCCAGCCCUCGAAAAGUUGGGUAAACCUUAUCAUUUAGAGGAAGGAGAAGUCGUAACA
RNAcentral lists this ribosomal RNA (335 nucleotides) under uncultured eukaryote. Its description in RNAcentral is "partial 18S ribosomal RNA". It matches the Rfam family "Eukaryotic small subunit ribosomal RNA", at positions 1470 to 1796 of the family's 1831-position model. The record is from RNAcentral.